GACUUUUUAAAAAUGUGCGCAUUAAUACUACAUUAGUAAAAAGGCCGGGAGUGUCUUUGCAGCUGGACCAGGCGAACCGAGGUUCAGUUAAGUUGGUUAGUCGCGCUGUUGAGAUCGUCGCUAGAAUAAACAGUGAAAUCUCACACACAAGGUUCGGCCGUCCAACAUGACUGGGCGUGCACGUGCAACGAGCAGCGGCAGAGCACGCGGCCAGGAGACUGGUGCACCUGUUGCAGAGACAAUACUGCACAGCGAGACUAGGAAUAAAGAGGCAGUUAAGAUAACGUCUCAUCCUCAGAAGAAUUUUGAGAUUGCUCAGCUUGCAACAAAUUAGACGAAACUACUACAACCCUAAAGAGCCACUCAACAUCCCGCAGCACAAGCUAAAAAUCUGGCCAGGCUAUGUCGCCACAGUCCUGCACUAUGAGUCAUCAUGAUGUGCAUUGAUAUUAGCCACAAGGUGUUGCGCAGUGAUACUGUCCUCGAUUUCAUGACCAACCUAAGAGCUCAGUGUGGAGACCUCCGCUUCGCUGAAAUGUGUACCAAGGACCUUGUUGGGUGCAUUGUCCUCACAAAGUAAACGUGUACUUUGGGCUGUAAACUUUACUCCAAAAAUUUUACUUGUAAGUAAUCCCGUCCCGAUUUCCAACUACAACACAAGUCCUUUAUUGGACAGUAUCUUAUUCUUGCCCCUAUGUUCAACACAUUACUUGUCAAACUGCUGUUGCACAGGGUACAUUUAUAAUGUCAAAUAUUGUAAAUGUUUAUGAAAAUAUAAGAAUCAGUAUAAUACGUUCACACAUACAAGGAAUUUGUCUCCGGUUGCUGGUGUCUAGCUGUAAAGAAAGAAAACUUGAAAAGAACGAUAAAUAACAAUACACAUAUACAGGACUACACAGUAUACAUAAUCACAAUAACACAAUUUACACUAAUGUAUUUUAAGAGUUAAGUCUCAGGGGGGGACGUUUUAUGUUUAAGUUUGUGAGAUUUAUGGAAACCGGAAAGAAGCUGGUCUGGUGGUUCUGGUUGGCAGUAUCCUGAAACGCCUUCCAGAGAGAGGCGUGAGGAGAGGAGUCCCUGAUGAUGUUGCGUAUUAUUUGUAGUCCGUGAGAUGUAUAAGUUCUGGAGCCUCAUUUAUAAACGCUGCGUACGCACAAAAGAAAGCAUACGUCACAUAUAAGCAAAGUUUGGGAUUCAUAAAAAAAAAAAACCUGUCGAUAGUGUGCGCACCUUAACGGCAGCUCGGACCCUGUCGUACUCACAAAAUCAUGAGAAACGGGAAACUCCAACGUCAACAGGAGAAGGAUGAAAUUAAAGACAGCUCUGUGAAAUUGAUAGAAAUUGUGUGAAAUAAUCGAACACAUUGAACAUUUCACAACACAUUAUUUGAAGGAUGCAUUUGCAAAAAUGGAGGAAAAAAUUAUACUGACGUCCGCAGAGAGUGAGUGACGUACGCGCGCCUACAAAUACGGUUUUAUAUUAAUAAUAACAGGGUGAACGUGGGUCCUUAAAGUCUUGAAUACUUUUUAUAAAUAAAAAGUCUUUGUCUUAAAUUCA
This is a long non-coding RNA of Gouania willdenowi (blunt-snouted clingfish), 1557 nucleotides long. Lineage: Eukaryota; Metazoa; Chordata; Actinopteri; Blenniiformes; Gobiesocidae. The record is from Ensembl.